ACAGGAAACAUGAAGGGUGCGCGGUGGAUGCCUAGGCUUAGAACAGCGAUGAAGGACGCGAUUAACCGGCGAAACGUUUCGGGGAGGUGGUAUUUAACCUUUGAUCCGGAAAUAUCCGAAUGGGGAAACCCAAGUCCAAGUGACUUAUCCUGCUUGCAGGAUGCGAACCUCGGGAAGUGAAACAUCUCAGUACCGAGAGGAACAGAUAACAAAAACGAGUAGUGUUCCGUGCGAACGUUAUGUUCGUUCGUAUGGAACACUACUCUCGUGAUUCCCUUAGUAGCGGCGAGCGAAACGGGAAAAGCCCAAACCAGAAUCUUCGGAUUGUGGGGUUGUAAGGCAGAAGCACCAUACUUGUAUGGCAAGAGUUACAAAUGGUUCAUAUAGUGGAAGCUGCUGGGAAGCAGCACCCUAGAGGGUAAUGGUCCCGUACACGAAAUAUGUAACCGCUCUUGUGCUUCUGUUCUUGAGUAGCUCGAGACACGAAUAGCUCGAGUGAAUCUGCCGGAACUAACCGGUAAGGCUAAAUAUGUUCUAAGACCGAUAGUGAACUAGUACCGUGAGGGAAAGGUGAAAAGAACCCCGAGAGGGGAGUGAAAUAGAACUGAAACCGCGCACUUACAAAGGGUCACGGGGGGCUAUAAGUCCUUCGUGGCGUGCCUAUUGAAGAAUGAGCCUGCGAGUGUAUGUAUGUCGCUUGGCUAAGUCCGUAACGGGACGUAGCCGUAGGGAAACCGAGUGUGAAUAGCGCGUCUGUGUCAUACAUACGACCCGAAGCAGUGUGAGCUUGCCAUGAGCAGGGUGAAGUUUGUCGAAAGACAGAUGGAGGCCCGAACCCGUAGAUCGUACAACGUCUUGGGAUGACUUGUGGUAAGGAGUGAAAAGCUAAUCGAACACUGUAAUAGCUGGUUCUCUCCGAAACAUCUUUUGGGAUGGCGUCAUGUGAUCCUUCCGGGGGUAGAGCACUGGAAGGGGCAAACAGGGAGAAAUCUCGUUGUCCCUAUCAACCUCCGAAUACCGGAAGUCUACAGCAUGGCAGUUAGACCAUGGGGGCGAAGCUCCAUCGGUCAAAAAGGGAAGAGCCUAGAUCGCCAGUUAAGGCCCCAAAAUCGACACUGAGUACAACUUAAGGAAGUGAGGAUCCUUUGACAAUGAGGAUGUUGGCUUAGAAGCAGCCACCAUUUAAAGAAAGCGUAACAGCUCACUCAUCGAGGGUCCUUGCGCCGAAGAUAAUCGGGGUUAAGUGUCGUGCCGAAACUGCGGGCACGGGCAUCCUUCGGGAUGUCAGUGCGGUAGGAGAGCGUUCCGUUCUGCGAUGAAGGUGAAGGGGUGACCCACACUGGAGCGUACGGAAGUGAGAAUGCAGGUACAAGUAACCACAAUGCGGGUGAGAACCCCGCACGUCGAAAGAGCAAGGUUUCCGCAGCUAUGAUGAUCAUCUGCGGGUUAGUCGGGCCUAAGGGGAUGGCGAAAGCCGCACCCGAUGGACACAUGGUUAAUAUUCCAUGACCGAGCAUAUGUGCGAUGGAGUGACGGACUGCUGUACCGUGAGCCCACAAUUGGAUGUGGGUCCGUGCCAUGAGGGGGUGUAUUAGGAAAAUCCGGUACACACUACUCCAAGUGGAGCGGCAAUUUUCUUCUUCGGAGGAAGAGAGUCAAGGGAGCGCGGUUCCAAGAAAAGCUUCUAAGCUUCAACAUAUGCCGACCGUACCGAAAACCGACACAGGUGCUCGGGUCGAGAAGACUAAGACGAACAAGUGAGAGGUCCUCAAGGAACUCGGCAAAAAAGCGGCCGUAAGUUAGCGAUAAGGCCUGCCCAUAGCAAUAUGGGCCGCAGCGAAAGACUCCCUGGCAACUGUUUACCAAAAACACAGCUCCCUGCGAACUCGUAAGAGGAUGUAUAGGGGGUGACACCUGACCAAUGCCGGAAGGUCAACUACGGAGGGUACCCAACUUCGGUUGUGUGCUGGACUGUAUAAGCCCCGGUGAAUGUCGGCGAUAACUAUAAUCGUCCUAAGGUAGCGUAAUUCCUUGUCUGGUAAGUUCAGACGUGCACGAAUGGUGUAAUGACUGGGGAACUGUCUCGAGGACUCGCUUGGUGAAAAUGCACUACCGGUGAAGAUGCCGGUUACCUGUAGUUAGACGAAAAGACCCCAGGAGCUUUACUACAGCUUCGUAUUGGGGCUGCGUGAUUCAUGCGUAGCAUAGGUGGGAGACUUUGAAGCGUACCUUUCGGGGGACGUGGAGUCGCCAGUGAAAUACCACUCUUGAAUUGUGCAGUUCCUAACCGAUGUAUAGAACUACAUCGGGACCGUGCGUGGCGGGUAGUUUUAGUGGGGCGCUAUCCUCCUAAAAAGUAACGGAGGAGUCUAUUAAGGUCCUCUAGGCGCGAAUGGAAACCGUGCCGAUAGUGUAAUGGCAUAAGAGGGCUUAACUGAAAGACGUACAUGUCGAUCAGAUGCGAAAGCAGAGCAUAGUGAACCGAUGGUCCGCCUUAGAUGCGGCCAGAGAUUAACGGAUAAAAGUUACCCUGGGGAUAACAGGCUAGUUCCGCCCAAGCGUCCAUAGCGACGGCGGAGUUCGGCACCUCGAUGUCGGCUCACCUUAGCGCGGGGCUGGAGAAGGUCCCAAGCGUUUGGCUGUUCGCCAAUUAAAAAGGUACGCGAGCUGGGUUCAGACCGUUCAGGUAUUGAUCUUGUAUCAAUACUUGAACCCGUCUGAAUCCCACGAGAUAUUGUUAUCAGAAUACUAAGAAUGUUUUUUCGUCUAUAAAAGAUUUGCUUCGUUCGUUAAUUAAGUGCAGACGAAGUAAGGAACCAACUCAUAUUGCGGCGGUCAUGUGUAGGGAUACACAAUGACAUUACUGACUUAUAUCGGAAGAACCCCAUGCGGGCGAUUCCGAGGGAAGGCCAAAAGCCACCCGUAGAGACUGAACGUCAGUCACGAAGAACUCGUGAAGUAACAGUCCGAUCCUCCAAGUAAUUGGAGUAUAUAAAAAACGAAAUGCGUGAGACAGGUUGGUCUCCUAUCUACUACAGGCGUUGAUUCUUGCGGAGGGUCGUCCCUAGUACGAGAGGACCGGGAUGAACUGACCUCUGGUCUGCCUGCUGUCACGCCCGUGGCAUCGCAGGGUAGCUAUGUCGGGUUUAGAUAACUGCUGAAAGCAUAUAAGCGGGAAGCUAGCUCCAAGAUAAGGAAUCGUUGAGACACCUUGAAGAUUACGAGGUUGAUAGGUUCUAGGUGUACGGUCAGUAAUGACUUCAGCCGAGGAAUACUAAUAUGUCGAGUUUUCUGUGC
Molecule: ribosomal RNA, 3297 nt
Filed under: Patescibacteria group bacterium
Lineage: Bacteria
Description: 23S ribosomal RNA
Rfam family: Bacterial large subunit ribosomal RNA
Source: RNAcentral